This 513-nucleotide ribosomal RNA is filed under the name uncultured bacterium. Its description in RNAcentral is "partial 16S ribosomal RNA". It matches the Rfam family "Bacterial small subunit ribosomal RNA", at positions 28 to 523 of the family's 1533-position model. The record is from RNAcentral.
GAUGAACGCUGGCGGCGUGCCUAAUACAUGCAAGUCGAGCGAACAGAUGAGAAGCUUGCUUCUCUGAUGUUAGCGGCGGACGGGUGAGUAACACGUGGGUAACCUACCUAUAAGACUGGAAUAACUCCGGGAAACCGGGGCCAAUACCGGAUAAUAUUUGAACCGCAUGGUUCAAUAGUGAAAGACGGUUUCGGCUGUCACUUAUAGAUGGACCCGCGCCGUAUUAGCUAGUUGGUAAGGUAACGGCUUACCAAGGCGACGAUACGUAGCCGACCUGGGAGGGGGAUCGGCCACACUGGAGCGGAGACACGGUCCAGACUCCUACGGGAGGCAGCAGUAGGGAAUCGUCCGCAAUGGGCGAAAGCCUGACGGAGCAACGCCGCGUGAGUGAUGAAGGUCUUCGGAUCGUAAAACUCUGUUGUUAGGGAAGAACAAAUUUGUUAGUAACUGAACAAGUCUUGACGGUACCUAACCAGAAAGCCACGGCUAACUACGUGCCAGCCGCCGCAGUAA